UGCGCCUUGCCAGCCCGCUCAGAAACUUAAAGGAAUUGACGGGGGCCCGCACAAGCGGAGGAACAUGUGGUUUAAUUCGAUGAUACGCGAGGAACCUUACCUGGGCUAGAACGCAUUCGGAAUCAGGCCGAAAGGCCUGCGCCAGCGAUGGCCGCUUGCGAGGUGCUGCAUGGUUGUCGUCAGCUCGUGCCGUGAGGUGUCGGGUUAAGUCCCAUAACGAGCGCAACCCCUACUGCUAGUUGCCAGCGGGUCAUGCCGGGGACUCUAGCGGAACUGCCAGCGUAAGCUGCGAGGAAGGUGGGGAUGACGUCAAAUCAGCACGGCCCUUACGUCCAGGGCUACACACGUGUUACAAUGGCCGGUACAGAGGGCAGCCACCCCGCGAGGGGGCGCGAAUCCCGAAAGCCGGUCCCAGUUCGGAUCGGAGUCUGCAACCCGACUCCGUGAAGCUGGAUUCGCUAGUAAUCGCGCAUCAGCCACGGCGCGGUGAAUACGUUCCCGGGCCUU
This 507-nucleotide ribosomal RNA is filed under the name uncultured Rikenellaceae bacterium. Its description in RNAcentral is "bacterial SSU rRNA". It matches the Rfam family "Bacterial small subunit ribosomal RNA", at positions 903 to 1382 of the family's 1533-position model. Lineage: Bacteria; Pseudomonadati; Bacteroidota; Bacteroidia; Bacteroidales; Rikenellaceae. The record is from RNAcentral.